This 273-nucleotide long non-coding RNA is filed under the name Mytilus galloprovincialis (Mediterranean mussel). The record is from RNAcentral. Lineage: Eukaryota; Metazoa; Mollusca; Bivalvia; Mytilida; Mytilidae.
AAAAAAAAUUAAUGACGAUGGCAUGAUAACAACAAUUAGUUUCGUUUUAGUCCUUUUUUAUUUUAUGAAAGCAACUUAUAAGAGCUAUCUUCUCAUAGUUAAUGCUCAAAAACCAUCAUUCAUAAAAUUGGGUUGUCCAUGUUUUAUCUACACAAAAUCUUGUCAUUUUGCACAAUCUUUUAGCUCGAAAAAAGAUUUCCAUGACCCUUUUUUUUUAUAUUAUAUUUAAGGUAGAUACAUGGUAUACCGCCAUCUUGGAUUUUACAAUCACAG